Molecule: ribosomal RNA, 531 nt
Filed under: uncultured bacterium
Lineage: Bacteria
Description: bacterial SSU rRNA
Rfam family: Bacterial small subunit ribosomal RNA
Source: RNAcentral
UGGGGAAUAUUGCACAAUGGGCGCAAGCCUGAUGCAGCGACGCCGCGUGAGGGAUGACGGCCUUCGGGUUGUAAACCUCUGUUAGCAUCGAAGAAGCGAAAGUGACGGUAGGUGCAGAGAAAGCGCCGGCUAACUACGUGCCAGCAGCCGCGGUAAUACGUAGGGCGCGAGCGUUGUCCGGAAUUAUUGGGCGUAAAGAGCUUGUAGGCGGUUGGUCGCGUCUGCUGUGAAAGGCUGGGGCUUAACCCUGGUUUUGCAGUGGGUACGGGCUAACUAGAGUGCAGUAGGGGAGACUGGAAUUCCUGGUGUAGCGGUGGAAUGCGCAGAUAUCAGGAGGAACACCGAUGGCGAAGGCAGGUCUCUGGGCUGUAACUGACGCUGAGAAGCGAAAGCAUGGGGAGCGAACAGGAUUAGAUACCCUGGUAGUCCAUGCCGUAAACGUUGGGCACUAGGUGUGGGGGACAUUCCACGUUUUCCGCGCCGUAGCUAACGCAUUAAGUGCCCCGCCUGGGGAGUACGGCCGCAAGGCUA